UACGUAGGGUCCGAGCGCUGUCCGGAAUUACUGGGCGUAAAGAGCUCGUAGGUGGUUUGUCGCGUUGUUCGUGAAAACUCACAGCUCAACUGUGGGCGUGCGGGCGAUACGGGCAGACUGGAGUACUGCAGGGGAGACUGGAAUUCCUGGUGUAGCGGUGGAAUGCGCAGAUAUCAGGAGGAACACCGGUGGCGAAGGCGGGUCUCUGGGCAGUAACUGACGCUGAGGAGCGAAAGCGUGGGGAGCGAACAGG
Molecule: ribosomal RNA, 253 nt
Filed under: uncultured bacterium
Lineage: Bacteria
Description: partial 16S ribosomal RNA
Rfam family: Bacterial small subunit ribosomal RNA
Source: RNAcentral